This 372-nucleotide ribosomal RNA is filed under the name uncultured organism. RNAcentral describes it as "bacterial SSU rRNA". It matches the Rfam family "Bacterial small subunit ribosomal RNA", at positions 526 to 896 of the family's 1533-position model. The record is from RNAcentral.
CAGAGGGUGCAAGCGUUGUUCGGAAUUAUUGGGCGUAAAGCGCGUGUAGGCGGCUUUGCAAGUCGGGUGUGAAAGCCCUCAGCUCAACUGAGGAAGUGCGCCCGAAACUGCAUGGCUUGAGUACCGGAGAGGAUGGUGGAAUUCCCGAAGUAGAGGUGAAAUUCGUAGAUAUCGGGAGGAACACCGGUGGCGAAGGCGACCAUCUGGACGGAUACUGACGCUGAGACGCGAAAGCGUGGGUAGCAAACAGGAUUAGAUACCCUGGUAGUCCACGCCGUAAACGAUGAGAACUAGGUGUUGCGGGUGUUGACCCCUGCGGUGCCGAAGCUAACGCAUUAAGUUCUCCGCCUGGGAAGUACGGCCGCAAGGCUA